Molecule: ribosomal RNA, 1501 nt
Filed under: Klebsiella pneumoniae
Lineage: Bacteria; Pseudomonadati; Pseudomonadota; Gammaproteobacteria; Enterobacterales; Enterobacteriaceae
Description: bacterial SSU rRNA
Rfam family: Bacterial small subunit ribosomal RNA
Source: RNAcentral
AGAGUUUGAUCCUGGCUCAGAUUGAACGCUGGCGGCAGGCCUAACACAUGCAAGUCGAGCGGUAGCACAGAGAGCUUGCUCUCGGGUGACGAGCGGCGGACGGGUGAGUAAUGUCUGGGAAACUGCCUGAUGGAGGGGGAUAACUACUGGAAACGGUAGCUAAUACCGCAUAACGUCGCAAGACCAAAGUGGGGGACCUUCGGGCCUCAUGCCAUCAGAUGUGCCCAGAUGGGAUUAGCUAGUAGGUGGGGUAACGGCUCACCUAGGCGACGAUCCCUAGCUGGUCUGAGAGGAUGACCAGCCACACUGGAACUGAGACACGGUCCAGACUCCUACGGGAGGCAGCAGUGGGGAAUAUUGCACAAUGGGCGCAAGCCUGAUGCAGCCAUGCCGCGUGUGUGAAGAAGGCCUUCGGGUUGUAAAGCACUUUCAGCGGGGAGGAAGGCGGUAAGGUUAAUAACCUUGUCGAUUGACGUUACCCGCAGAAGAAGCACCGGCUAACUCCGUGCCAGCAGCCGCGGUAAUACGGAGGGUGCAAGCGUUAAUCGGAAUUACUGGGCGUAAAGCGCACGCAGGCGGUCUGUCAAGUCGGAUGUGAAAUCCCCGGGCUCAACCUGGGAACUGCAUUCGAAACUGGCAGGCUAGAGUCUUGUAGAGGGGGGUAGAAUUCCAGGUGUAGCGGUGAAAUGCGUAGAGAUCUGGAGGAAUACCGGUGGCGAAGGCGGCCCCCUGGACAAAGACUGACGCUCAGGUGCGAAAGCGUGGGGAGCAAACAGGAUUAGAUACCCUGGUAGUCCACGCCGUAAACGAUGUCGAUUUGGAGGUUGUGCCCUUGAGGCGUGGCUUCCGGAGCUAACGCGUUAAAUCGACCGCCUGGGGAGUACGGCCGCAAGGUUAAAACUCAAAUGAAUUGACGGGGGCCCGCACAAGCGGUGGAGCAUGUGGUUUAAUUCGAUGCAACGCGAAGAACCUUACCUGGUCUUGACAUCCACAGAACUUUCCAGAGAUGGAUUGGUGCCUUCGGGAACUGUGAGACAGGUGCUGCAUGGCUGUCGUCAGCUCGUGUUGUGAAAUGUUGGGUUAAGUCCCGCAACGAGCGCAACCCUUAUCCUUUGUUGCCAGCGGUUCGGCCGGGAACUCAAAGGAGACUGCCAGUGAUAAACUGGAGGAAGGUGGGGAUGACGUCAAGUCAUCAUGGCCCUUACGACCAGGGCUACACACGUGCUACAAUGGCAUAUACAAAGAGAAGCGACCUCGCGAGAGCAAGCGGACCUCAUAAAGUAUGUCGUAGUCCGGAUUGGAGUCUGCAACUCGACUCCAUGAAGUCGGAAUCGCUAGUAAUCGUAGAUCAGAAUGCUACGGUGAAUACGUUCCCGGGCCUUGUACACACCGCCCGUCACACCAUGGGAGUGGGUUGCAAAAGAAGUAGGUAGCUUAACCUUCGGGAGGGCGCUUACCACUUUGUGAUUCAUGACUGGGGUGAAGUCGUAACAAGGUAGCC